Long non-coding RNA from Carica papaya (papaya), 1513 nucleotides. RefSeq lists it as uncharacterized. The record is from RefSeq and is a predicted model, not a curated record. NCBI's taxonomy places the organism in Eukaryota, Viridiplantae, Streptophyta, Magnoliopsida, Brassicales, Caricaceae.
CCCACCACCACCACCACCACCAACACCACCACCAUUGAUUUCCCUUCUACUUAAUCUACUAGAGAGAAUAUUUAGAUUUAUCCAAUCAAGACGACAACCUUCUUCCUUACCCAACAACACAAUACCACACACUAUCCAGAACUCCAUUACCAGAAUCAGAUGUUACAACCCACCAUUUCACCAAUACAGACACUAUAACCAUUAUCAUCAUCGUCAACCUACAUUAUGGAAUUACAGUACCACUACUCAUAAUCUUCAACUUCCUUGCUUCGACAUCGAAAUGCAAACUAGUAAUAAUCAACACCAAUCCAGAAGAGAAUCAUUAUCAUCAUCAUCAUCAUCAUCAUCAUCAUCAAGUAUUAGCCAACAAGGUAAGACUUAUAUAAGUCUGACAUACCAGGUGGCCGCCGCGCUCGCUCUGUCAUCUUCUCUCGGACGGGAAAGCUUCUUCGCCAGCAUUGCAAAGGUUAACGUUGUCCUAGCUUUUGCAGCAUCGUUCAGUGGUAUGUCAUUGAGAAAUGGGUAUCCAAGAAUCUCGGCUGUUCUUGAGAAUAUCGGCUCGCUUUUUGCGGCGGUUGGGUUUUUUGCCACGACCGGUAUGUUUCUUCCGGAAAACUUAAUGUGGGUUGGAUGGCUAGCUUGUGCUUUGUCACUCCUAGCCUUCUCCUUAUCCUUCAUUAACUGAUCAAAGUUAACAAGGAAACACUACUUCGAUAUCUUGGCUCCUCGGCCUCGGAUAUCAGGUAUUUCAGAGCACAAAUGAUAGGCUGAGGUAUCCCCGUGAACAUGGGUUUAAUAUGUAAUUUGAUCAAAAAGAAUUAGUGACAAGGAUCUCGUCGCAAAAACCAUCAAGACAUGGGACCGUAGCAAAUUCGCAACGGAUCAAUUGAAUUGACGGAUGAAUUAGCGACGGGGGCAAAUUGGCUACGAUAUAAGUAGCGACGGAUGAAUUCCGUCGUUCAAUUUUCUGCUUUACUUAGUUGAAUUUGAAGUUAGAUUUAGAUUGAUGUUUAUGUACGUGAAGAAGAUAAUCUAGAGUAUGAAGCAGGCUAAGCCUGCGUGAUGAUAACUCCGCCUGUGACGCGCGGUUCAUGUCCUAUAUAAAAAAUCUUUUCCCACAGCCGGUCCCAAGCCCGGAGAAAGGAGGAGGGUCAUGUUUAGGCAGCGAACCAACUUUAUCAACGCCUUACAUUUUGACAACGAAUUAAAUCACUACGUUUUGUUGAUAAGGUUGCCAAAGCAGAAUCUCAUGGAGUACAAAUUUUCAAUGCUUAAUUUCUAAUGAAAGAUAUAAGCUGAAUGGUCGUCAAAGCAGAGCAGUGAUUUAGGCUGUUCGUGAAAUAAAACUCCAUUUACUUUAGCUGCACAUAUUGUGUAUAUAUAAUUUAUAUAUAUACACCCUUUUGUUUUUCAUACAUAUUGUAAUUUGGAAGUGGUGUGUGAUACUUCUUCUAGUCUUUCAAAUGAGAUUGGCUUUCCUUUGUUUCAUAAAUAGAUAUCAUAUUCCCAUCAA